AGUUUGAUCAUGGCUCAGAUUGAACGCUGGCGGCAUGCCUUACACAUGCAAGUCGAACGGCAGCACGGGAGCUUGCUCCUGGUGGCGAGUGGCGAACGGGUGAGUAAUACAUCGGAACGUACCCUGAAGUGGGGGAUAACGUAGCGAAAGUUACGCUAAUACCGCAUAUUCUGUGAGCAGGAAAGAGGGGGAUCGCAAGACCUCUUGCUUUAGGAGCGGCCGAUGUCGGAUUAGCUAGUUGGUGAGGUAAAGGCUCACCAAGGCGACGAUCCGUAGCGGGUCUGAGAGGAUGAUCCGCCACACUGGGACUGAGACACGGCCCAGACUCCUACGGGAGGCAGCAGUGGGGAAUUUUGGACAAUGGGCGCAAGCCUGAUCCGGCCAUGCCGCGUGAGUGAAGAAGGCCUUCGGGUUGUAAAGCUCUUUCGGUGGGGAAGAAAUUGCUUCGGUUAAUACCUGGAGUAGAUGACGGUACCCGCAUAAGAAGCACCGGCUAACUACGUG
This 504-nucleotide ribosomal RNA is filed under the name uncultured bacterium. Its description in RNAcentral is "bacterial SSU rRNA". It matches the Rfam family "Bacterial small subunit ribosomal RNA", at positions 10 to 507 of the family's 1533-position model. The record is from RNAcentral.